UACGGAGGGUGCGAGCGUUGUCCGGAAUCACUGGGCGUAAAGGGCGCGUAGGCGGCCUGAUAAGUAGGGGGUGAAAUCCUGCGGCUUAACCGCAGGGCUGCCUUCUAAACUGUCAGGCUCGAGCACAGUAGAGGCAGGUGGAAUUCCCGGUGUAGCGGUGAAAUGUGUAGAGAUCGGGAGGAACACCGGUGGCGAAGGCGGGUCUCUGGGCAAUUCCUGACGCUGAGGCGCGAAAGCGUGGGGAGCAAACGGG
This 253-nucleotide ribosomal RNA is filed under the name uncultured bacterium. RNAcentral's name for it is "partial 16S ribosomal RNA". It matches the Rfam family "Bacterial small subunit ribosomal RNA", at positions 524 to 776 of the family's 1533-position model. The record is from RNAcentral.